Molecule: ribosomal RNA, 544 nt
Filed under: uncultured Pseudomonadota bacterium
Lineage: Bacteria; Pseudomonadati; Pseudomonadota
Description: bacterial SSU rRNA
Rfam family: Bacterial small subunit ribosomal RNA
Source: RNAcentral
AGCAAUGCCGCGAUGGGCGCAAGCCUGAUCCAGCAAUGCCGCGUGCAGGAAGAAGGCCUUCGGGUUGUAAACUGCUUUUGUCAGGGAAGAAAUCUUCUGGGCUAAUACCCCGGGAGGAUGACGGUACCUGAAGAAUAAGCACCGGCUAACUACGUGCCAGCAGCCGCGGUAAUACGUAGGGUGCGAGCGUUAAUCGGAAUUACUGGGCGUAAAGCGUGCGCAGGCGGCUUUGCAAGACAGAUGUGAAAUCCCCGGGCUCAACCUGGGAACUGCAUUUGUGACUGCAAGGCUAGAGUACGGCAGAGGGGGAUGGAAUUCCGCGUGUAGCAGUGAAAUGCGUAGAUAUGCGGAGGAACACCAAUGGCGAAGGCAAUCCCCUGGGCCUGUACUGACGCUCAUGCACGAAAGCGUGGGGAGCAAACAGGAUUAGAUACCCUGGUAGUCCACGCCCUAAACGAUGUCAACUGGUUGUUGGACGGCUUGCUGUUCAGUAACGAAGCUAACGCGUGAAGUUGACCGCCUGGGGAGUACGGCCGCAAGGUUG